RNAcentral lists this ribosomal RNA (427 nucleotides) under uncultured bacterium. RNAcentral describes it as "bacterial SSU rRNA". It matches the Rfam family "Bacterial small subunit ribosomal RNA", at positions 355 to 774 of the family's 1533-position model. The record is from RNAcentral.
UGGGGAAUAUUGGACAAUGGGGGCAACCCUGAUCCAGCAAUGCCGCGUGUGUGAAGAAGGCCUUCGGGUUGUAAAGCACUUUUAUCGGGAACGAAACAUUGUCGGCCAAUACCCGGCAAGACUGACGGUACCCGAGGAAUAAGCACCGGCUAACUACGUGCCAGCAGCCGCGGUAAUACGUAGGGAGCAAGCGUUGUUCGGAUUUACUGGGCGUAAAGGGCGCGUAGGCGGCGCGGUAAGUCACUUGUGAAAUCUCUGAGCUUAACUUAGAACGGCCAGAUGAUACUGCUGUGCUAGAGUGCGGAAGAGGCAACCUGAAUUCUUGGUGUAGCGGUGAAAUGCGUAGAUAUCAAGAGGAACACCUGAGGCGAAGGCGGGUUGCUGGGCCGACACUGACGCUGAUGCGCGAAAGCCAGGGGAGCAAACG